AAGCGAGAGGGUUAGAAGAGUGAGGGAGGGGUCGAUGCAAUUGAGAUAGUGCUCCACUGUUCAUCCAUUUCUCUCUCUACAAGAGAAACGGAAGCCAAGCUUGAACAAGAGAGGGAAAUCUGUUACUCAGUGGAAACCCCAAUCAAAAAGGAAACCGAAAAGUCAUAGGAAAAUUAAUGGGUAGAAAGUAGACUGACAAAAUGAA
Molecule: long non-coding RNA, 205 nt
Filed under: Citrus x clementina
Lineage: Eukaryota; Viridiplantae; Streptophyta; Magnoliopsida; Sapindales; Rutaceae
Description: Citrus clementina (C. clementina) long non-coding RNA (CCLE_LNC004341)
Source: RNAcentral